CCUUGUGAAAUCGGGCCGCCCAACGGUUCGGCGUGCAAGGGAUACUGUUGGUCUUGAGGCCGGGAGAGGUCGGAGGUACUCCUGGGGUAGCGGUGAAAUGCUCUAAUCCUAGGGGGACCACCAGUGGCGAAGGCGUCCGACCAGAACGGGCCUGACGGUGAGGGGCGAAGGCUAGGGGAGCGAACGGGAUUAGAUACCCCGGUAGUCCUAGCUGUAAAGCAUGUGGGCCAGGUGUCUAGCGCUCCUCGAGGGCGCUAGGUGCCGGAGGGAAGCCGUUAAGCCCGCCGCCUGGGAAGUACGGCCGCAAGGCUGAAACUUAAAGAAAUUGGCGGGGGAGCACCACAAGAGGUGGGACCUGCGGUUCAAUUGGAUUCAACGCCGGAAAACUCACCAGGGGCGACAGCUGGUUGACGGCCAGAUUGACGAUCUUGCCCGACUAGCUGAGAGGUGGUGCAUGGCCAUCGUCAGCUCGUACCGUGAGGCGUCCUGUUAAGUCAGGCAACGAGCGAGAUCCUCGCCCUUAGUUGCCAUCGGUGGAAAGCCGGGCACUCUAGGGGGACCGCUGGCGCUAAGUCAGAGGAAGGAGAGGGCGACGGUAGGUCAGUAUGCCCCGAAUCCCCUGGGCUACACGCGGGUCACAAUGCGCAGGACAAUGAGAUGCAACCCCGUAAGGGGAAGCCAAACCCAUAAACCUGCGCUCGGUUCGGAUCGAGGGCUGUAACUCGCCCUCGUGAAGCUGGAAUCUCUAGUAAUCGCGUGC
RNAcentral lists this ribosomal RNA (760 nucleotides) under uncultured archaeon. RNAcentral's name for it is "bacterial SSU rRNA". It matches the Rfam family "Archaeal small subunit ribosomal RNA", at positions 540 to 1305 of the family's 1478-position model. The record is from RNAcentral.